This 2918-nucleotide ribosomal RNA is filed under the name Bacillus cereus. RNAcentral's name for it is "bacterial LSU rRNA". It matches the Rfam family "Bacterial large subunit ribosomal RNA". The record is from RNAcentral. Lineage: Bacteria; Bacillati; Bacillota; Bacilli; Caryophanales; Bacillaceae.
UAAGUUAGAAAGGGCGCACGGUGGAUGCCUUGACACUAGGAGUCGAUGAAGGACGGGACUAACGCCGAUAUGCUUCGGGGAGCUGUAAGUAAGCUUUGAUCCGAAGAUUUCCGAAUGGGGAAACCCACCAUACGUAAUGGUAUGGUAUCCUUAUCUGAAUACAUAGGGUAAGGAAGACAGACCCAGGGAACUGAAACAUCUAAGUACCUGGAGGAAGAGAAAGCAAAUGCGAUUUCCUGAGUAGCGGCGAGCGAAACGGAACAUAGCCCAAACCAAGAGGCUUGCCUCUUGGGGUUGUAGGACAUUCUAUACGGAGUUACAAAGGAACGAGGUAGACGAAGCGACCUGGAAAGGUCCGUCGUAGAGGGUAACAACCCCGUAGUCGAAACUUCGUUCUCUCUUGAAUGUAUCCUGAGUACGGCGGAACACGUGAAAUUCCGUCGGAAUCUGGGAGGACCAUCUCCCAAGGCUAAAUACUCCCUAGUGAUCGAUAGUGAACCAGUACCGUGAGGGAAAGGUGAAAAGCACCCCGGAAGGGGAGUGAAAGAGAUCCUGAAACCGUGUGCCUACAAAUAGUCAGAGCCCGUUAACGGGUGAUGGCGUGCCUUUUGUAGAAUGAACCGGCGAGUUACGAUCCCGUGCGAGGUUAAGCUGAAGAGGCGGAGCCGCAGCGAAAGCGAGUCUGAAUAGGGCGUUUAGUACGUGGUCGUAGACCCGAAACCAGGUGAUCUACCCAUGUCCAGGGUGAAGUUCAGGUAACACUGAAUGGAGGCCCGAACCCACGCACGUUGAAAAGUGCGGGGAUGAGGUGUGGGUAGCGGAGAAAUUCCAAUCGAACCUGGAGAUAGCUGGUUCUCCCCGAAAUAGCUUUAGGGCUAGCCUUAAGUGUAAGAGUCUUGGAGGUAGAGCACUGAUUGGACUAGGGGUCCUCAUCGGAUUACCGAAUUCAGUCAAACUCCGAAUGCCAAUGACUUAUCCUUAGGAGUCAGACUGCGAGUGAUAAGAUCCGUAGUCAAAAGGGAACAGCCCAGACCGCCAGCUAAGGUCCCAAAGUGUGUAUUAAGUGGAAAAGGAUGUGGAGUUGCUUAGACAACUAGGAUGUUGGCUUAGAAGCAGCCACCAUUUAAAGAGUGCGUAAUAGCUCACUAGUCGAGUGACUCUGCGCCGAAAAUGUACCGGGGCUAAAUACACCACCGAAGCUGCGGAUUGAUACCGAAUGGUAUCAGUGGUAGGGGAGCGUUCUAAGGACAGUGAAGUCAGACCGGAAGGACUGGUGGAGUGCUUAGAAGUGAGAAUGCCGGUAUGAGUAGCGAAAGACGGGUGAGAAUCCCGUCCACCGAAUGCCUAAGGUUUCCUGAGGAAGGCUCGUCCGCUCAGGGUUAGUCAGGACCUAAGCCGAGGCCGACAGGCGUAGGCGAUGGACAACAGGUUGAUAUUCCUGUACCACCUCUUUAUCGUUUGAGCAAUGGAGGGACGCAGAAGGAUAGAAGAAGCGUGCGAUUGGUUGUGCACGUCCAAGCAGUUAGGCUGAUAAGUAGGCAAAUCCGCUUAUCGUAAAGGCUGAGCUGUGAUGGGGAAGCUCCUUAUGGAGCGAAGUCUUUGAUUCCCCGCUGCCAAGAAAAGCUUCUAGCGAGAUAAAAGGUGCCUGUACCGCAAACCGACACAGGUAGGCGAGGAGAGAAUCCUAAGGUGUGCGAGAGAACUCUGGUUAAGGAACUCGGCAAAAUGACCCCGUAACUUCGGGAGAAGGGGUGCUUUCUUAACGGAAAGCCGCAGUGAAUAGGCCCAAGCGACUGUUUAGCAAAAACACAGCUCUCUGCGAAGCCGUAAGGCGAAGUAUAGGGGGUGACACCUGCCCGGUGCUGGAAGGUUAAGGAGAGGGGUUAGCGUAAGCGAAGCUCUGAACUGAAGCCCCAGUAAACGGCGGCCGUAACUAUAACGGUCCUAAGGUAGCGAAAUUCCUUGUCGGGUAAGUUCCGACCCGCACGAAAGGUGUAACGAUUUGGGCACUGUCUCAACCAGAGACUCGGUGAAAUUAUAGUACCUGUGAAGAUGCAGGUUACCCGCGACAGGACGGAAAGACCCCGUGGAGCUUUACUGUAGCCUGAUAUUGAAUUUUGGUACAGUUUGUACAGGAUAGGCGGGAGCCUUUGAAACCGGAGCGCUAGCUUCGGUGGAGGCGCUGGUGGGAUACCGCCCUGACUGUAUUGAAAUUCUAACCUACGGGUCUUAUCGACCCGGGAGACAGUGUCAGGUGGGCAGUUUGACUGGGGCGGUCGCCUCCUAAAGUGUAACGGAGGCGCCCAAAGGUUCCCUCAGAAUGGUUGGAAAUCAUUCGUAGAGUGCAAAGGCAUAAGGGAGCUUGACUGCGAGACCUACAAGUCGAGCAGGGACGAAAGUCGGGCUUAGUGAUCCGGUGGUUCCGCAUGGAAGGGCCAUCGCUCAACGGAUAAAAGCUACCCCGGGGAUAACAGGCUUAUCUCCCCCAAGAGUCCACAUCGACGGGGAGGUUUGGCACCUCGAUGUCGGCUCAUCGCAUCCUGGGGCUGUAGUCGGUCCCAAGGGUUGGGCUGUUCGCCCAUUAAAGCGGUACGCGAGCUGGGUUCAGAACGUCGUGAGACAGUUCGGUCCCUAUCCGUCGUGGGCGUAGGAAAUUUGAGAGGAGCUGUCCUUAGUACGAGAGGACCGGGAUGGACGCACCGCUGGUGUACCAGUUGUUCUGCCAAGGGCAUAGCUGGGUAGCUAUGUGCGGAAGGGAUAAGUGCUGAAAGCAUCUAAGCAUGAAGCCCCCCUCAAGAUGAGAUUUCCCAUAGCGUAAGCUAGUAAGAUCCCUGAAAGAUGAUCAGGUUGAUAGGUUCGAGGUGGAAGCAUGGUGACAUGUGGAGCUGACGAAUACUAAUAGAUCGAGGACUUAACCA